GGAACCUCACCCGGUCUAGUAGGGAGGGCUUCCUGGAGUAGGUGAGGAAGUAUGCUCCGGAGGACAGAGGAAACGGCAGGAGCAAGAAUUAGGAGAUGACAACUGGAAUAGCAAAAUCCCUGGGUUUUUGAACUCCACAGGGACAGCCACAUUCAUCCCGGCUGUGGACUGAACUGUGUCCCCUUCAGAUGUCACAUGUUGAAGCCCUUGCCCCCACUGUGACUGCAUUUGGAGACUGGGCCUAUCAGGAGAUAAGAGAUCACGUGGAGACACAGCAAGAAGGCAGCUGUCUGCAGCCAGGAAGAGAGCCCUCAGCAGAACCUGCGCCUGCCAGCACCAUGAUCUUGGACUCCCAGUCUCCAGAACUAUGAGAAAACAAAGUCUCACUCUGUCACCCAGGCUGGAGUGCAGCGGUGCCAUCAUAGUUCACUGAAGCCUCAACCUCCUGGGCUCAAGUGAUAUUCCCACCUCAACCUCCCAAGUAGCUAGGACCACAGAUUGUGGUUGUUUCAAAGUUUUUGCUAUUAUAAUUGCCCCUACAGGGAACACACUUGGAGCUGAAUCUUUACUCACUUAAUUAUUACCUUGGAAUAAAUUACUACAACUAGAAUUGUUGGUUCAAAAG
Gorilla gorilla gorilla (western lowland gorilla) is the source of this 625-nucleotide long non-coding RNA. RefSeq lists it as uncharacterized. The record is from RefSeq and is a predicted model, not a curated record. Lineage: Eukaryota; Metazoa; Chordata; Mammalia; Primates; Hominidae. The transcript has 4 exons.